RNAcentral lists this ribosomal RNA (253 nucleotides) under uncultured bacterium. RNAcentral's name for it is "partial 16S ribosomal RNA". It matches the Rfam family "Bacterial small subunit ribosomal RNA", at positions 524 to 776 of the family's 1533-position model. The record is from RNAcentral.
UACGAGGGGGGCGAGCGUUGUUCGGAAUUAUUGGGCGUAAAGGGUGCGUAGGCGGUUUGACAAGUCUGAUGUAAAAUCUAUGGGCUCAACCCAUAGUCUGCAUCGGAAACUGUCGGACUUGAGUAUGGGAGAGGUGAGUGGAAUUUCCGGUGUAGCGGUGAAAUGCGUAGAUAUCGGAAGGAACACCUGUGGCGAAAGCGGCUCACUGGACCAUUACUGACGCUAAGGCACGAAAGCUAGGGGAGCAAACAGG